AACUCAUCACUGAGCGUUGAAAGGCACUGAUCGCGGACUGUCAAAAGGCCUGCAAUCAGCGUUUACACUCAUCAAGUUAAUGGAAUUAACAAAGAACAGUUUUGCUUGCCAUUGCAUUUAUCGCUUAAAUUAAGGGCUGGAAUGGCUGCAUUUUGGCCUCCACCAACGUAGUUGGCCACGUUCCAUGUGGCAGGCCGCAUUCCGAGCCUCAAAACGGCUUGCACAGCACGUAAGCACACUCCUCUGAGUCACUUUUAGCCAAGUCUCUCUGCAUUUCAUUAGCCCGGGCACAUGGGCAUAUGUGUAGCCAAGUCCAAUGCAAGACCCUGAACCCAAACUUUGAGGCUGUGAAAUCGGCUUAAGAUCUGGAGAUCUUGAGUUAUGGUCAGACCAAAGCAGAUCAAGGCAAUCCCGCAAAGAGAUUCAGCGUCCAACGCCCCAAAUGCUGGGUUCCAAUGUACAAUUGCAGAAGAGGAGAAAGUUGCAGUCGCGCAGAAUAGGGCCAAAACAUUUACUCAGUUGUCAGCUGGUUUCGUUUGGCUUGGGACCAUCGGUGACUAAUGUUUUAUGGCAGGAAUUGAUUAAUGCUAAUGCCACUUUGUCUGACUGUCAGGCUUGAUCGAUUAGAUUCAGGGUUAAGGUAAAAAGUCAACGCAAUGUGGGUGCGAAAUAUGCGAGCCGAGCGUCACGCUCAAUUGAUCAGUGAACAAGCGGCGAUAGAGAAUUGCAUUUGGCUUUCACUCGGCGGCAUAGGCAUCCAAAUCCCAUUCAUAUGACAUCAUUGUUAGCCAAAGCUGUUAAAAUACAACAUCCUGGAUCGUUAAAUCACUCUCGAAAUAGUUUACCCAGCGCUGUUUUCGUAUGGCAAUCAUGUGCCAAAUAAAAACUUCUAAGUGAGCCAGAGCAAAGCGGAGACAUUGCGCAUACGCCACAUGUGCCGACACUUAAGUUCUGUGUAAGACACGGCUCUAAACCAAGUUUACCCACACACCCAGUUGAUCGCAAAUGUUUGGCUGGCCACUUAAGCCCAGCUCCAACUCGAACUACGGCUAUCCAUAAAAGAUGUGCUUAAGUAUUCAUAAUUCGCCCUCCACGCCGUAGACGUAGAGCCAUAGAGCCAUACGUCCAAAACUCGUACUCCGACCAAUUACCAGCCAUGAAACCAGAAACACCUAAAGCAGAGAGUGCUGUGACCUCAUUAACUCUCAACUGGCCCGUGUUUGCUUUGGGCUCUUUAUCUGUACAAUACGGAUGUACGGAGCUAUGGAGCUAUGGAGCUAUGGAGCCAUGGUGGUUCCUAUGUGCGGCCGGCUUAUGUAGCGAUUAGAUAAUGCCUCACUGAAUUCAUCAGCCAUCAGCUAGCAGCCAACUGGCGACAGCUUGACACACAAGACACUACUGCCGAUCCUGCCACAGAUCGAAAGCCCUGCCCAAGAACCAAGUCGCAGUCAAGUCGAGCUAGGGUGAAAAUUAGCAUUCGAAAUCGUUUUCCAGGAAUUCACAGUGCACUCCUCCGAACUGGUUGAUUACGUCUGGAAAACCGAGUCGCACCUCAAAAUCAAAUGAACUCGUGUGUUUAUUGCCCAGAUCUUGGUAAAUUAUUUGUGUGCGAUGUACAUUUCAUUUAAAUUCCAGCUUCGUGCUCGGCCCAGCCAACGGAGAUGGUUAUAAAAGCGGCGAGCAUUAAAAUUGAAAAUCGUUUGGAACUGGUUCUGAAUUAUGCAUAGAAAUAAAUAAUUUAU
Non-coding RNA from Drosophila melanogaster (fruit fly), 1742 nucleotides. The record is from Ensembl. Lineage: Eukaryota; Metazoa; Arthropoda; Insecta; Diptera; Drosophilidae.